This 208-nucleotide unclassified non-coding RNA is filed under the name uncultured fungus. Its description in RNAcentral is "partial contains 5.8S ribosomal RNA, internal transcribed spacer 2, and large subunit ribosomal RNA". The stretch from base 1 to 52 matches the Rfam family "5.8S ribosomal RNA", at positions 103 to 154 of the family's 154-position model. The record is from RNAcentral. Lineage: Eukaryota; Fungi.
AACGCACAUUGCACCUUGUGGUAUUCCACAAGGUAUGCCUGUUUGAGCGUCAUUUCUCCCUCAACCCCCCGGGUUGGCGUUGAAUGGCACGAGCUCUUAGUCAGUCCAUUCGAAAUGUAUUUUCUGUGUUGUUAUUUUCUAAUUUAGUAGUGACAACAACUAAAAACACAUUUUCCUCAAAUCAGGUAGGACUACCCGCUGAACUUAA